Molecule: ribosomal RNA, 253 nt
Filed under: uncultured bacterium
Lineage: Bacteria
Description: partial 16S ribosomal RNA
Rfam family: Bacterial small subunit ribosomal RNA
Source: RNAcentral
UACGUAGGGUGCAAGCGUUAAUCGGAAUUACUGGGCGUAAAGCGUGCGCAGGCGGCUUUGCAAGACAGAUGUGAAAUCCCCGGGCUUAACCUGGGAACUGCGCCUGAGACUGGAAGGCUUGAAUUCGGGAGAGGGAUGUGGAAUUCCAGGUGUAGCGGUGAAAUGCGUAGAUAUCUGGAGGAACACCGGUGGCGAAGGCGGCAUCCUGGACCGAGAUUGACGCUGAUGCGCGAAAGCCAGGGGAGCAAACGGG